GCUGGGCAUGGUGGCGCAUGCCUGUAAUCCCAGCUACUUGGGAGGCUGAGGCAGGAGAAUUGCUUGAACCCAGGAGGCGGAGGUUGCAGUGAGCCGAGAUCGCGCCAUUGCACUCCAGCCUGGGUAACAAGAGCGAAACUCCGUCUCAA
Callithrix jacchus (white-tufted-ear marmoset) is the source of this 149-nucleotide unclassified non-coding RNA. It matches the Rfam family "Metazoan signal recognition particle RNA". From Rfam's summary of the family: The signal recognition particle (SRP) is a universally conserved ribonucleoprotein. It is involved in the co-translational targeting of proteins to membranes. The record is from Ensembl. Lineage: Eukaryota; Metazoa; Chordata; Mammalia; Primates; Cebidae.